Molecule: long non-coding RNA, 2446 nt
Organism: Gadus macrocephalus (Pacific cod)
Lineage: Eukaryota; Metazoa; Chordata; Actinopteri; Gadiformes; Gadidae
Exons: 4
Source: RefSeq, a predicted model, not a curated record
UCCCAAACAUCUGUUGACCAAGCCCAGUACUUCCAAGUACGUCAUGGCAAAAGAGGAAGGAAGUAUUUUUCUAUGUAUUUCCUCAACUAAAGCCACCAUUAACAUUGUUGUGGAUUACAAACUGAUAUUUCCUCUUUUAAUGAACCUUUUAAGUUUAUUUUAGCUGCAGGUGUCUUGAAAUAUCUCCCCACAACAGGCAAGUGAGAGAGAUAGGACUAACUAUGUAUUCAAGAUCAGCAACAGGAGGAUUUCUAGCUUUCCUCCUGUCAUUACCAGCGCUACAGGGUAAAAUUGGUUGGGCAGUUACUUACACAUCUAGUAAUAUCAGCGCCUUAAGAGGAUCAACAGUUAAUAUCAGCUGUAUCUAUAAAUACCCUUACGGCCGAUAUUUCCGCCCUACCAACGUCACAACACUGUGGUUUACUAAAGGAGAGAUCGAGCUGCCAGUUAACCUGAAACAUGAUGCUGACUAUGCAGGACGUGUUGAAUACAGCGAUGGAGAGAUAAGCUGUAACUGGUUCAGUUGUAAGGGAACUUGUACUCUGCGAAUCAAAAACCUGACGCAGAGUGACUCUGCUGAGUACAAGUUCAUGUUCAUAACAAACAUAGAAGGAGGGAAAUUUACUGGUGACCCUGGAGUCAUGCUAUCUGUCACAGAGACAUCGCCUUCAUCAUCAUCACUGACAACAUCAGUCAAUGUCAGAAUCGUUGUGGUUUCAUUGGCCACAGUACUCCUUGUUUUUCUUUUCAUUAGAAGAAAAAGGGCCGACAGAGAAGCAUCGGGCCAGGGGAAAGCAGCAGAGAAGGUUGGCGAGGUGGAGGAGGAGCAGAGGGACAGAACUUAAGACUUUUGACUCAACCAUCAUUUUACUAAUCCUCCCACUAGAAGAAGUCUCACCAUGCCAGACACUGUGUGGGAUCUGUGUUGACCCAAACGUAAGCUGAUGUAUAAGACUAAACUAUCAUGGUACAGGACCUGUUCCUACCCUUCCCUGUGGUCACCAGAUAAUGGUAUGGGUCAUUCUAUGUUCCUCCCCUAUGGUCACCAGAUGACGGCAGACAGAAUCGGAUUUCAGAGGCCAGCAUGUUUUGUUUCCCUGGCAACUCUAGGCUGCGUGAAAACACAGAGAUGUUAAUAUCAGUCACCAAAAGGGUUGACAAAUUAACCAAAAACCAAAAUGUACUCUUGUUUCCUCUCUCCUGCUCAGACACUUCCUGUUUUUGUGUAUGAAAAGAAUUCUGACCCAUAGCUCCGCCCCUUCAGCACAGAGAGAACCAAUAGAGCUUCAGGAGCUGCCUUGUCCAAUCAGAUCAGAGACAGCAGGUCCUGUACUCUGUGGUGAACUGUAAAAGACACAAAUCAAAUCAAAUCAAAUUUAUUGUCAUUUGGUUGAUUGAAAAACAAAACGAGAAGGCGUUUCUCCGGGAUCAAGAUCAAGUACACAUACAUUUCAAACAAAUCCCAAUGAUGAAUAAAUGAAUAAAUAAUAAAUAAAGUCCAGUGAGAAGAUCUAGGACGCUGGUGCAUUGAGCAUCCUGACAGCUUGAGGCAGGAAGCUGUUCUGCAGCCUGGUGGAGCAUCUUAAGCUGCAAUAGCGCUUCUGUGAGGGUAGGAGCUGAAAGAAGCUGUUCAGAGGGUGAGAGGGGUCUCUCAUUAUUUUCUGGGCCCUAUUCCUGCAGCGGCUUAGGAAUAUGUCCUGGACAGAGGGAAGUGAGGCUCCAAUGACCUUUUCCGCUGAUCUCACCACCCUUUGCAGGGCCUUUUUGUCCGCCACACUGCAGCUGGAGAACCAGGUAGAGAUGGCGUACGUCACAACGCUGUGGCUGAGUAAGCCUCUCUUGGGAUUUCUAUAGAGUUUGGGGACUUCAGCCUCCCAGGGUGACUAAGGCUAAUUUCUUUUUUCAAAAUAAAAUUACAAGACAGAUAAAGAUAGCAUAUCAGCAUUGUACACCAUAUCCAAUUAUACACUGCAUAGUGGUAGGCUACAUAGCCUGAAGCUUUGGCUGGAAAGGUCCUCAUUCAACCAUAGAAGGAAGUCCACCUGAAUGAGUUAGCCUUCUUUUAGCAAUAAUAAUAAAGCUAUACCUAGUGGUCAACCUGCAAGAGUUAGCCUACUGUCAGCUCUGAUGCUAAAAAAGAGAAUUGCUUUAGGUCUGACAUGGAGAACCGUAUGCAGUGAGGUUUUCUUCUAGCCACGACAGCUAUGUGAUGGUUUUCUGCAUAGCGCUUCAUUUCUUUAUGUGCUAAAUAUCUCCCACCACAGACUCUUGAUUGUUUAUGUUCCUCUCUUAUUAACUUCUCAUAACUUAACAUAAAGAUUGUGACAUUUACAUGUUAACAUUGUUGCUGCCAGAUUUCUAAGCCAGUAUUUCGAAUUCUACAACAUGGGCCUUUCAGAAUGUUGCUGUUAUUAAGAGCAAUACCAAUAAAUGAUUUUUCAGUGUC